UGGGGAAUAUUGCGCAAUGGGCGAAAGCCUGACGCAGCGACGCCGCGUGAGGGAUGAAGGUUUUCGGAUCGUAAACCUCUGUCAGAAGGGAAGAAACCGCACUGUGCUAAUCAGCAGUGCCUUGACGGUACCUUCAAAGGAAGCACCGGCUAACUCCGUGCCAGCAGCCGCGGUAAUACGGAGGGUGCAAGCGUUAAUCGGAAUUACUGGGCGUAAAGCGCACGUAGGCUGCUUUGUAAGUCAGGGAUGAAAUCCCACGGCUCAACCGUGGAACUGCCUUUGAUACUGCUUAGCUUGAAUCCGGGAGAGGGUGGCGGAAUUCCAGGUGUAGGAGUGAAAUCCGUAGAUAUCUGGAGGAACAUCAGUGGCGAAGGCGGCCACCUGGACCGGUAUUGACGCUGAGGUGCGAAAGCGUGGGGAGCAAACAGG
RNAcentral lists this ribosomal RNA (429 nucleotides) under Fusobacteriota bacterium. Its description in RNAcentral is "Fusobacteria bacterium partial 16S ribosomal RNA". It matches the Rfam family "Bacterial small subunit ribosomal RNA", at positions 355 to 776 of the family's 1533-position model. The record is from RNAcentral. Lineage: Bacteria; Fusobacteriati; Fusobacteriota.